GGGCCAGUAGAUCAAUGGCUAGAUCGCCAGCUCCGCAAGCUUAUUGAUGUAAUGGAGGCUAGGGGUUCAAGUCCCCUCUGGUCCA
RNAcentral lists this transfer RNA (85 nucleotides) under Candidatus Aenigmatarchaeota archaeon. RNAcentral's name for it is "tRNA-OTHER". It matches the Rfam family "tRNA". Rfam says of the family: Transfer RNA (tRNA) molecules are approximately 80 nucleotides in length. Their secondary structure includes four short double-helical elements and three loops (D, anti-codon, and T loops). Lineage: Archaea; Nanobdellati; Candidatus Aenigmatarchaeota. The record is from RNAcentral.